CGCCUUGCCAGCCCGCUCAGAACUUAAGGAAUUGACGGGGCCGCACAAGCGGAGGAGCAUGUGGUUUAAUUCGAUGAUACGCGAGGAACCUUACCUGGGCUCGAACGUAAGAUGACUGUAGGUGAAAGCUUACAUCUCUUCGGAGCAUUUUACGAGGUGCUGCAUGGUUGUCGUCAGCUCGUGCCGUGAGGUGUCGGGUUAAGUCCCAUAACGAGCGCAACCCCUACCUUUAGUUGCCAUCAGGUUAAGCUGGGGACUCUAAAGGAACUGCCUACGCAAGUAGUGAGGAAGGCGGGGAUGACGUCAAAUCAGCACGGCCCUUACGUCCAGGGCUACACACGUGCUACAAUGGCCGAUACAGAGGGCAGCUACCUGGUGACAGGAUGCAAAUCUCCAAAGUCGGUCUCAGUUCGGAUCGGAGUCUGCAACCCGACUCCGUGAAGUUGGAAUCGCUAGUAAUCGCGCAUCAGCCAUGGCGCGGUGAAUACGUUCCCGGGCCUU
This 501-nucleotide ribosomal RNA is filed under the name uncultured Sphingobacteriales bacterium. RNAcentral describes it as "bacterial SSU rRNA". It matches the Rfam family "Bacterial small subunit ribosomal RNA", at positions 904 to 1382 of the family's 1533-position model. The record is from RNAcentral. Lineage: Bacteria; Pseudomonadati; Bacteroidota; Sphingobacteriia; Sphingobacteriales.